AGCAGUCGCGCGGGAAUACGAAGGGUGCAAGCGUUUAUCGGAAUUACUGGGCGUAAAGCGUGCGUAGGCGGUGAGUUAAGUCUGCUGUGAAAUCCCCGGGCUCAACCUGGGAAUGGCAGUGGAUACUGGCUCGCUAGAGUGUGUCAGAGGAUGGUGGAAUUCCCGGUGUAGCGGUGAAAUGCGUAGAGAUCGGGAGGAACAUCAGUGGCGAAGGCGGCCAUCUGGGACAACACUGACGCUGAGGCACGAAAGCGUGGGGAGCAAACAGGAUUAGAUACCCCCGUAGUCCCUGUCUCUUAUACC
Molecule: ribosomal RNA, 303 nt
Filed under: uncultured bacterium
Lineage: Bacteria
Description: partial 16S ribosomal RNA
Rfam family: Bacterial small subunit ribosomal RNA
Source: RNAcentral